GAACGCUGGCGGCGUGCUUAACACAUGCAAGUCGAACGCUGAAGCCCAGCUUGCUGGGUGGAUGAGUGGCGAACGGGUGAGUAACACGUGAGUAACCUGCCCCCUUCUUUGGGAUAACGCCCGGAAACGGGUGCUAAUACUGGAUAUUCACUGGCCUUCGCAUGGGGGUUGGUGGAAAGGUUUUUUCUGGUGGGGGAUGGGCUCGCGGCCUAUCAGCUUGUUGGUGGGGUGAUGGCCUACCAAGGCUUUGACGGGUAGCCGGCCUGAGAGGGUGACCGGUCACAUUGGGACUGAGAUACGGCCCAGACUCCUACGGGAGGCAGCAGUGGGGAAUAUUGCACAAUGGGCGAAAGCCUGAUGCAGCGACGCCGCGUGAGGGAUGACGGCCUUCGGGUUGUAAACCUCUUUCGCUCAUGGUCAAGCCGCAGCUUUGGGUUGUGGUGAGGGUAGUGGGUAAAGAAGCGCCGGCUAACUACGUGCCAGCAGCCGCGGUAAUACGUAGGGCGCGAGCGUUGUCCGGAAUUAUUGGGCGUAAAGGGCUUGUAGGCGGUUGGUCGCGUCUGCCGUGAAAUCCUCUGGCUUAACUGGGGGCGUGCGGUGGGUACGGGCUGACUUGAGUGCGGUAGGGGAGACUGGAACUCCUGGUGUAGCGGUGGAAUGCGCAGAUAUCAGGAAGAACACCGGUGGCGAAGGCGGGUCUCUGGGCCGUUACUGACGCUGAGGAGCGAAAGCGUGGGGAGCGAACAGGAUUAGAUACCCUGGUAGUCCACGCUGUAAACGUUGGGCACUAGGUGUGGGGGCCACCCGUGUUUCUGCGCCGUAGCUACGCUUUAAGCACUCCGCCUGGGGAGUACG
This 855-nucleotide ribosomal RNA is filed under the name uncultured Actinomyces sp. Its description in RNAcentral is "bacterial SSU rRNA". It matches the Rfam family "Bacterial small subunit ribosomal RNA", at positions 31 to 884 of the family's 1533-position model. The record is from RNAcentral. Lineage: Bacteria; Bacillati; Actinomycetota; Actinomycetes; Actinomycetales; Actinomycetaceae.